CCCAGCCGCCGCCACCGCCGCCACCAGGGCGGGACUAUGAGGAUGGCUUGGAGCGCCCCGACUACGAUGACCUGGACUAUGGGUUGCCACCGCUGCCACCGCCACCACCAGCGAAGCCCGAGAAAUACCCGGAUAAAGAGGAUGAGAUGGAGACGGACGAGGAGAAACUCAAGCCGGGGACGCACAAGAAGGGUGGCAGCAGCAAGGAGGAAGAAGAG
Non-coding RNA from Tinamus guttatus (white-throated tinamou), 218 nucleotides. The record is from RefSeq and is a predicted model, not a curated record. NCBI's taxonomy places the organism in Eukaryota, Metazoa, Chordata, Aves, Tinamiformes, Tinamidae.